RNAcentral lists this ribosomal RNA (313 nucleotides) under uncultured bacterium. RNAcentral describes it as "bacterial SSU rRNA". It matches the Rfam family "Bacterial small subunit ribosomal RNA", at positions 28 to 342 of the family's 1533-position model. The record is from RNAcentral.
GACGAACGCUGGCGGCGUGCUUAACACAUGCAAGUCGAGCGGUAAGGCCCUUUCGGGGGUACACGAGCGGCGAACGGGUGAGUAACACGUGGGUGACCUGCCUUUAGCUCUGGGAUAAGCCUGGGAAACUGGGUCUAAUACCGGAUAUGACCCUAUGGCGCAUGUUGUGGGGUGGAAAGCCUUGUGCGGCUAGGGAUGGGCCCGCGGCCUAUCAGCUUGUUGGUGGGGUGAUGGCCUACCAAGGCGACGACGGGUAGCCGGCCUGAGAGGGCGACCGGCCACACUGGGACUGAGACACGGCCCAGACUCCUAC